AUGAGCAAGUCGUCGUGGCCGGAGCUGGUGGGCGUCAUGGCGACGCCGGCGGCAACGCAGAUCGCGCUCGUCAGGCCUGACGUCGCCGUCGAGGUGCUCCCGCCGGGUGCGCCGCUGACGCCCGACUACAACCCCGAGCUCGCCGCGUCUUCAUCGACACCAACGGCAUCGUCUCCCAGACCCACCGUCGGCUAG
RNAcentral lists this ribosomal RNA (195 nucleotides) under Triticum aestivum (bread wheat). RNAcentral describes it as "partial small subunit ribosomal RNA". The record is from RNAcentral. Lineage: Eukaryota; Viridiplantae; Streptophyta; Magnoliopsida; Poales; Poaceae.